RNAcentral lists this ribosomal RNA (460 nucleotides) under uncultured soil bacterium. RNAcentral's name for it is "bacterial SSU rRNA". It matches the Rfam family "Bacterial small subunit ribosomal RNA", at positions 26 to 516 of the family's 1533-position model. The record is from RNAcentral.
AGAACGAACGCUGGCGGCAUGCCUAAUACAUGCAAGUCGAACGAACUCUUCGGAGUUAGUGGCGCACGGGUGCGUAACGCGUGGGAAUCUGCCCCUUGGUUCGGAAUAACAGUUGGAAACGACUGCUAAUACCGGAUGAUGACGAAAGUCCAAAGAUUUAUCGCCAAGGGAUGAGCCCGCGUAGGAUUAGCUAGUCGGUGAGGUAAAGGCUCACCAAGGCAACGAUCCUUAGCUGGUCUGAGAGGAUGAUCAGCCACACUGGGACUGAGACACGGCCCAGACUCCGUACGGGAGGCAGCGAGUAGGGAAUAUUGGACAAGUGGGACGAAAGCCUAGAUCCAGUCAAUGACCGCGUGACGUGAUGAACGGCCGUUAAGGGUUGUAAAGUCUUACUUUUACCCGAGUAUGAUAGUGACAGUACCGGAGAACUACGCCCGGAUAACCGUCCGUCGACCAAGCC